This 761-nucleotide ribosomal RNA is filed under the name uncultured bacterium. RNAcentral's name for it is "bacterial SSU rRNA". It matches the Rfam family "Bacterial small subunit ribosomal RNA", at positions 28 to 776 of the family's 1533-position model. The record is from RNAcentral.
AUUGAACGCUGGCGGCAGGCUUAACACAUGCAAGUCGGACGGUAACAGGGAGGAAGCUUGCUUUCUUUGCUGACGAGUGGCGGACGGGUGAGUAAUGCUUGGGAAUCUGUUUUAUGGAGGGGGAUAACUACGGGAAACUGUAGCUAAUACCGCGUAAUAUCGAGAGAUUAAAGUGUGGGACCGUAAGGCCACAUGCCAUAGAGUGAGCCCAAGUGGGAUUAGGUAGUUGGUGGGGUAAAGGCCUACCAAGCCGCCGAUCUCUAGCUGGUCUGAGAGGAUGACCAGCCACACUGGGACUGAGACACGGCCCAGACUCCUACGGGAGGCAGCAGUGGGGAAUAUUGCACAAUGGGCGCAAGCCUGAUGCAGCCAUGCCGCGUGAAUGAAGAAGGCCUUCGGGUUGUAAAGUUCUUUCGGUGGUGAGGAAGGUUGUAAUGUUAAUAGCAUUAUAAUUUGACGUUAGCCACAGAAGAAGCACCGGCUAACUCCGUGCCAGCAGCCGCGGUAAUACGGAGGGUGCGAGCGUUAAUCGGAAUAACUGGGCGUAAAGGGCACGCAGGCGGAUACUUAAGUGAGGUGUGAAAGCCCUGGGCUUAACCUAGGAAUUGCAUUUCAUACUGGGUAUCUAGAGUAUUUUAGGGAGGGGUAGAAUUCCACGUGUAGCGGUGAAAUGCGUAGAGAUGUGGAGGAAUACCGAAGGCGAAGGCAGCCCCUUGGGGGAAUACUGACGCUCAUGUGCGAAAGCGUGGGGAGCAAACAGG